UAAAACAAUUUAGCUCCAAAAGCAUGAUUUAUAUGAUACCUACUUGCCUCGGAAGAGGGCUAGAAGCAUUAAGAAAUUGGUAAUUAAUAAUAAUAAUAAUAAUAAAUAAAUAAAUAAAGGGCAAACCUCAAAUUUACCAUCCAACUAUUAAAGUAGUUUCAAUUAGACACUCAAAUAUUUUUUUUUAUCAAUUGUCACAAAAAAGAAUUUUUAUUUCUCAAUUAGAUCAUUUUGUUAAAUACAAUUAACCGAGCUGUUAAGUAUCCGCAUCUUCCCCGCAUGAUCCUUACUAGAAGAGAGAAAAUUGAAGGGUGAUUUUCCUUCAAUGUUCUUAACAAUAUAAUAAAUGAUGUGCUCCACGUGACAUUAAAAUCUGGAAUCUCUCAAUACAUAUAGGUAAUCAAUAAAAUGGUUAAAUUGAAAAAUAAAAAUUCUUUAAUCGUAUAAUUGAUAGAGAGAAAAUAUUCUGGAUGCAUAAUUAAGACAAUCCUCCAUGAGAGAGAGAGAGAGGAUUUGUAAGUUACCUUAAGAAUCCAGUUCUGGUGGCAUCAACAAGGGAGAUAUCUUGGAUAGAAGAGGUGGACAUCCAAACAGAAGAGUUAUAGCGACGAAUUUCGUAGCCAUUGCCAAGUUGAAGAACAUCAAACACUGGGCAUUCUAUGCUGGUGCAAGCAGGUGGGUAUAUCGCAACGCCGCUCCUCUUAGCCUCAUCAUGCCAGGGGCCAAAGCUUGCACUUGAGAGAAGGGUCAAGAGAAAUGAUAGCUUCAACAUGCUAAAACCAGAUAUUUGUAGU
Molecule: long non-coding RNA, 794 nt
Filed under: Populus trichocarpa (black cottonwood)
Lineage: Eukaryota; Viridiplantae; Streptophyta; Magnoliopsida; Malpighiales; Salicaceae
Description: long non-coding RNA (PTRI_LNC000379)
Source: RNAcentral